AAUGCCAAUACAGCAAACAUGUCGGCGGUCAAUUGAAAAGUUGCCGCUAGUCGAAUUGUAGGUAGCGGGGUGCGUGUGUGUUUGUGUUUUAUGUUUAAACUUUGCGUUCAAGCCGCACCUUGACACGUUUAGAAGACGAGGACUCCACGAUAAGAGCCAGAAUAUUCGUUAUUAUCAGAAAUAAUGCUGAUAUCUGGGACUCAUGUCGGACGUCGUGUAUGAAGAGACAGCCACGAUGAUUGCCGCAGGGGAAUUGCAGUCGUUUGUCCCGUUUGGCCGUGAUCACUGCAAGAACCACCCCAACGCUUUCAACCUGCAGCUGCGGGAGCUGCAGCCCGCCUCAGAACUCUGGACGUCGGACUGCGCCGCCGGCCUGGCGGGCUCCCUGCAGGAGGUCAGCCUGCAGGAGAGAGAGCGGGAAAGCUGGCAGCUGAGGAAGGGCUGCAUGGAGGUCCCGGAGCAGGGUGUAGAGUUCGAAGAGGAGCUUUACUCGGCAGGGAACGUGGUGGUCUGGACCAAGGGUAGCCGGGCACACGGCUCGAAUGUUUACAAGGCGUUCACUGUGGACAGCCCGGUGGAGCAGGCCUUAUGGUGUGACUUUGCUGUCCCUCAGAGCAAGAAGGAUGAAGAACAGGUGGAGCACACGGUGUGCAUCGUCCAGAACGGCUGCAUCAACAUUCACACCGUGACCGGCAAAGAUUUCCUCUCGCCGCUGCCGUUCCAGGUGUCCAAAGCCUGGCCGACUAAGUUUGGACUUGUGCUUGAGCGUAAAAUCACAGCAGCUGACAGCCAGCUCAACCCCCCGGGCGAGCCACUUCCCUACUUGUUCAGCAUGCUGCAUCCGAUAGAUGAGGUGGCACCAGUGGUGUACAAACCCUCUGGUCCGUUUGACAGCUCUCGCGUGGAGUACAUGACCGAAUCCAGCACAAAGAUCGUCUUCACCUGCUGUCAGCCCUCCAUCAUCGUCACUUACGAUAGUGAGCAUGGAACACACUCGGUGUGGAGGCUGCGCAAGGUCACAUCUGAGGAGCGCUCCAUGGUGCUUAGUUGUCUCGCCGAGCCCUUCGCCGAACCUCUCGGCUUCCAGGCCACGGGCCUCCUCAUGUCACACCUGCGCAACCACUCCCGCUUGGACACCCCGUGUGGCAGCAAGGCAGCCAGGUUUAAUCCCGGCGCUGGAGCAAGUGGUGUCAUUGCUGCCAACAGCCCUCAUCACUACAGCACUGUGCACAGCCACCAGAGCAGAAUCCUCAUGUCCUCACCAGUAAUGCACUCCCGCGUCCAUUCCCCGGGUAUAUCCAAGAUGGCUGCCGUCAGUCGCGACCACUCUCCGGGCAUGGCGAUGCCGUCCUUAUCGGGCACGGCUCGCUUUAACACUACCCUGCACUCCUCGUCACCUGUGGGCCACCAUCACGGCAUGGCGCACUCGCCCAACAGCACCAUCAAUGAGACGGUGCCGGAGCCCAUCAUCCCAGAUCUGUGCAUGGAGCAGCUAUGGAGCGAGACGACUGUGUGCCACAGCCUGGACAGAGAGAUGAGCAGCCAGGCGUCCAAAGUGUUCCUGACCUCCGACCUCUGCGAGAACCGCUACCUCUGUUUCCUGGUGGAGUCGCACCAGCAACUCAGAUGUGUGAAAUUCAUGGAGAGCAACGACACGUCUCAGCUCAUCUUUGCCUCUGUGACGAACAUCACCGCCAAAGAUGCGGAGCCUUUGCAGAACAUUGAUGCAAUGCUGGUAUUGGAGGCCUGCGGCAGCCUGAUUCUCUACACGGGUGUCACCCGGGUCAGCCAGGUGUUUGUGCCCGGCCUCCUGCCAUCCACUUUCGGUCUUAACAACAACCGUGUCGGUCUCUACACGCCACAGGAGCAAGUUAGCACGCCCACUAAUGCAAGCAGCAGGCAUUUGCAAAGAAUGGACGAGGCUGCCAUGCCCUCGCCCGUGUCCGAUCCAAGGGGCCCAAACAUGAAGCGCCACGAAGCAUCUUUUUUAGAGGACUACACUUACCAGCAGGCUUUGCGCUACAUCCACGCCCUCCGGGACCCUGUCAGCAACCGCGUAACUCUGGAACUAAGUAAUGGCACCAUGCUGAGAAUUUCCAUCCCGGACAUUGCUGUCUCUGAGCUGGUUAGGAAAUGUCUUCAGGCCAUUCGUUUCAUCCUGCCCAAGGAAGCUGCCAUGAAGGUUUUGGUGAAAUGGUACACAAUUUACAACGCCCCUGGCGGCACAAGCCCCCACAGUGAGUGGAACCUGUUUGUCACUUGUUUCUUGAAGCUGAUGGGCUACAACACGGAGCGCCUGACCUGGACCCGAAAUCUGAAUUUUGAAGUGCCUCUCUCGCCGGUGAUUGCGGCUAAGAAAGCUCGUCCCUGUGAUGGAGGUUGUGAUGAGGAUUGGGAGUACUUGCUGGGAAGUCAUUACCACCGCCAGAUGGAUUCUCAUUCCGACGCCAAACCAGCGGCCUCUAGUGGCUUUAACGCCAGCGUCACCCCGGACGAUGAGGACCUCUCAUCUGCGCCGUCCUCUUCCUGCGUCUUAGACAACACGGCGCCCCUCUUCGUUCACAUUCCGGCCCUCUUCUACGUUCUUCACCUGCUCUACCAAGAGCUGCUGCUCAACGAAUUGCACCGAGAGAGGGCCUCGUCCCUGGUGUGUCUUCUGCAGCAGCUCGCCAGAGACCUGCAGUUGGAAGAUUAUGUGGAUCUCUACUGGAGAGACUACCCAUCAUUAAUCAAUGGAUUCACAGAGAGCUGCCUCAUAGACCAGUCUCUGAUUGGUCAAAUGCAGCAUCCGUCUUUCCUGCGUGCGGAACCUCCCUGCAUCUUCAGCUGGCUCAGUAGCUGCCUGCAAGGGGAAUCGGUCCCGCCUUUCCCCUCCCUGCCCGGUGUCUGCCACAGGCUCCGGCUGUUGGUUCUGAGUUAUGCUCUCUACAUCAGCGGUGACGACAAAGCCACCACAUCCAAUGUGUCUGAAUACUUGGUGAAGCUCUCUGCAGGCCAAAAGACCAGUGAGCAGCAGUACAAAAGACAGGCGAGCGUGAAUCAAGUCAAGUCGUGCAGCGGGAGUCUGGCUGAGCAGCUCGUGGUCUGGCUCACCUCGCAAGGGUUCACCCUCAAAGACUUGGAGUCGGUCCCUUUCGGCGUGGCUCUGCCCAUCCGAGAUGCCAUCUACCACUGCCGGGAGCAGCCCUGCGCCGAUUGGUCAGAGGAGGUUUGCCUGCUGAUUGGCCGGCAGGACCGCACCAGACAGGCCCACAACAUGACCCUGGUGAAAAGCAAAGCUUCUGUGAGCUCAAGUUUGUCCUUGGAACCUCCCGCGACCACAGAGGCCGACGAGGAGGAGGACGGAAUGUCGGACAUCAUUCAGGAGGUCACAGGACUGAUCUGGAGUCAGGAUCUUAGGGUCCAGGAAGUCCGAAGGCUUCUGCAGAGCUCCAAGCCAGUCCGGGUCUGCGUCGUUCAGCUCCCGGAGGUCUCGGACCACGAGUACAUAGAAGAGAAAGAGAACAAACUCCUUCAGCUGUGUCAAAGGACCAUGUCCCUCCCAGUGGGAAGGGGCCUCUUCACUCUGUUCUCCUACCAGCCUGUACCUACAGAACUUUUACCCAUCCCGAAACUCAACCUCACAGGUCGUGCCCCACCCAGGAACACCAUGGUCAACCUGAACAGCGGGAAUAUUGACGUCCCAGCCAAUAUGCCCAGCUGGCCCAGCUUCCACAACGGCGUCGCUGCCGGACUCAAGAUCGCCCCCGCGUCGCAGGUGGACUCGGCUUGGAUCGUCUACAACAAAAACAAGAACCAAGAGAUGGCCAACGAGCACGCUGGCUUCCUCAUGGCGCUGGGCCUCAACGGGCAUCUCACCAAGCUUGGGACACUCAACAUACACGACUACCUCACCAAGGGCCACGAGAUGACCACCAUCGGGCUUCUCCUGGGCGUGGCAGCAGCGCGACUGGGUACCAUGGACGUGUCCACCACCCGCCUGCUCAGCAUCCACAUCCCUGCCCUGCUUCCUCCCACCUCCACUGAGUUGGAUGUCCCACACAAUAUACAGGUGGCGUCUGUAAUCGGCAUCGGGCUGGUGUAUCAGGGAACAGGACACAGACACAUUGCUGAGGUUCUACAAUCAGAAAUAGGGCGACCUCCAGGUCCGGAGAUGGAGUACUGCACCGACAGGGAGUCCUAUUCCCUAGCUGCGGGAUUAGCUCUUGGGAUGGUCUGCCUCGGGCAAGGCAGCAACCUAAUUGGGAUGAGUGACCUGAACGUCCCAGAGCAACUGUAUCAGUAUAUGGUAGGGGGCCAUCGAAGGGCCCCAGUCGGAGCCAGCCGAGAGAGACAUAAAUCUCCCAGCUACCAGAUCAAGGAGGGCGACACUAUCAAUGUGGAUGUGACGUGUCCUGGGGCCACGCUGGCACUCGCCAUGAUCUAUUUGAAGACCAACAACCGGUCCAUAGCUGACUGGCUGAAACCUCCAGAUACUUGGUUCCUAUUGGAUUUCAUCAAGCCAGAGUUUCUUCUGCUCAGGACCCUGGCCAGGUGCAUCAUCAUGUGGGAUGAAAUACUCCCUAAUACAGAAUGGGUCAAAAGUAACGUACCACAGAUCAUGAGGGGGUCUCAUUCGGACUCACCAGAAAACAUCAACAUGGAGACGUGGAUCCAAGUGCAGGAUUACAUCACAGCCGGAGCUUGCAUGGCGCUCGGCCUGCGAUUCGCCGGUUCCGCCAACUCGGAUGCCUUCGACUGCCUCUACGACUUUGCCAAGAACUUCAUGAGGCUUAUGUCCUUCUACGGUACAGCCGCUGCGGAGCCGGGCUGCUACAACAUGCAGACGGCGCUGUCCAUGAUCCUGCUGUCCAUGUCCAUGGUGAUGGCCGGCACGGGCAACCUGAAGGUGCUACAGCUCUGCCGCUUCCUGCACUACCGAACCGGCGGCGAGAUGAACUACGGCUUCCACAUGGCUCAUCACAUGGCGCUCGGCAUGCUUUUCCUGGGAGGGGGAAGGUUCAGCUUGAGCACAUCCAACUCAGCCAUCGCUGCUCUGCUAUGUGCCCUCUAUCCUCACUUCCCCUCACAUAGCACAGACAACCGCUAUCACCUGCAGGCGCUGCGCCAUCUCAUUGUUCUAGCCGCCGAGAGCCGGCUGCUGGUGCCGGUUGACGUGGACUCCCUUAAGCCUUGCUACGCCCUCCUGGAGGUCACCUACAAGAAAACCGACUGGUACGACGAGACCACGGUGGAGCUGAUGGCUCCGACCAUGCUGCCUGAGCUGCACCUCCUCAAGCGGGUUCGAGUGAAGGGGCCUCGUUACUGGGAACUUUCGAUUGACCUGAUCAAGGAAGUGCAGCACCUCAAGUCGGUCCUCUCCAGGGACGGCGUGUUAUACGUGAAACUCCGAGCAGGGCAGUUGCCCUACAAGGAUGACCCCCAGGGCUGGAAAAGCUUGCUGGGCUCCGCCGUCACUCAGCGCAGCUCUGGAGUCCGAGCCUUUAAGCUCGAGGCCAUCUCCACCUUCACCUCCGAGCCGGCCCUGCUCUCCUUCGCCGAGUUCUUCUGCAAGACGUCGGGCGGAGGGAAGCACCGAGAGGAGACCGUGGAGCUGUUCUCAGCCAUGUUGUACGAGUGCGUGACGCAGGAGUGUCCGGAGAUGCUGCCCACGUACGUCGCUAUCGAGCAGGCGGUGGGCGCUCUGUGCCGUGGUGAGCCGCAGCACAGUUUCGCCCUGUGGCAGAUGCGCCUGGUGGUGGAGCUUUGGGACAGCAGGGUGCUCCAGCGGCCUGCCCACGGCCGUGACGCGCUGCUUUCCUCGGAGUUUUUACCUGUCAUGAAGAACAAGGUGGAUGUGGUGCUGGACAGCUGGCUCAAAGACAACAGCUCAGCGUUGAGGUCCUACAUAGGCAGAAAGGCUUUCCCCGAUGGUCCCGGGUCCCCCAUGUUGGCUUGCUUCCUGGUCUACCGCUCUGUCCCCUGCCUCAGGAACAAACUGGCGCAGCUUCAAGGCUGCACUUCACUCGGGCACUUGUUGUCCAGCAGCAGCCGGUUGGGAAUGCCACUCAGAGACCUGCUCAGGCUCGCUCCGGUCCUGCUGGAAACCGAAACCAGGCCGCAGAUGCUCCUUGGUUCCCCGUUGCUCGCACGCUGAACCUUGAGCUCUCUCAAAAGCCUUAUACUCUGUUCACACAGCAGAGAGACAGGAUGGCCUUUCUGCAUGUGUUGCAGGAAUUCUUCUCCAGAAAAACAGAAUCAAGUUUUUCUACUUUAUUCAGAUGUUGGGGUUGAAAAGAAAGUAUAAAUAGCAUUUCAAAACAAAAGCAAGGCAGGUAUGCACACUAUGUUGCCUUUCAUUUUAUUAAUAGCUUCCUCUUUUGAGUUGAAAACUAUUUCCAGUACUAAGCCUUGCGCCACGCGGUUGGCUCAUUCUUCACAUUCUUUCAUCACAUGUUGCCUGGAUGUUUGAAAAGUAAAAGUGUUUGUGCGAUCCAACGGCAUUUUUUCUUCUUCUUGAGCUGUGUUGUUAUUGGCAAAAUAGUGUUUGCCUUGAAAAGGUAAUCCGGUUCGCCUUGCUUUGGAAUGCCUGACCUUAAGCGAAGAAUUCUCUCGAGGUUGCCUCCACCCUCCUCCAUACCAACCAACAAUAAUCAUUAUGAUCAUAAUCAUUGCAAUCACAGCAACCCUUCUUCCUGUAGACGUGAAGCCGAGUGCUCGCUUUGAGCCGGGCAGUAAUGUGCCCGGUCUUUGUUUUCUUAACAAACCGAUGUGGGAGUUUCACUUGUGUGCUUUUCU
RNA transcript from Syngnathus acus (greater pipefish), 6777 nucleotides. It is a transcript of the gene named anaphase promoting complex subunit 1, with no coding region annotated. The record is from RefSeq and is a predicted model, not a curated record. NCBI's taxonomy places the organism in Eukaryota, Metazoa, Chordata, Actinopteri, Syngnathiformes, Syngnathidae. The transcript has 54 exons.